AGUAUAUUUAUUCAUUAAUUUAUUCAUAUGCAUUAAGAGUUUGAAAGACACCAUGACGAUUAAAAAGAGCUAUUUGAGAAUAGGAAGGAUGGGAUGGAAGGUAAACAAGCACAGGAGUUGCGGAAAAGAUGAGCCACGCAUCGAGGAAGAGAUGCUGACCAUCGAUGGUAACCAAGAGCCUCUCUCCAGAAGGUCGGGUGAGGCGUUUGCGCUUUACAGGAAGUCUGGACCACGGACACUUGGAGGUGCUACUAGAAAACAAGUAUGUAUAUAUGCCCGCGCCGCCCUCACCUAGUUGGCACUCAAGAGAUGGCAACGCAAAGCAUUUGGAAAUAUGGUGACCUCUGGAUGACAUCGGAAAUCUCUUCAGUAGCCUGGUGGCCCUGCCAGCAGCUCGAAAUUAAAGCCGCUCAAGACCCAAGGACCUUCUACGUACGAGUAUAUCCAUCUGCAUGGUAAGUUGCUCCACUUUGAAUUAGGCCCAGCAAUUUCGUUAUUUUCUUCUACUUUCUUCUCCUCUCCCCGCAUCGGCAUAAAUUUAUAUAAUUUUCAAAAUAUGCAGCACAGAAGAAAACAGAAGUCAAAGAGUGAAAUAAUACAACGGCAACAACCACACUUAAGCCUUGU
RNAcentral lists this long non-coding RNA (627 nucleotides) under Drosophila guanche. The record is from RNAcentral. Lineage: Eukaryota; Metazoa; Arthropoda; Insecta; Diptera; Drosophilidae.